Molecule: ribosomal RNA, 435 nt
Filed under: uncultured bacterium
Lineage: Bacteria
Description: partial 16S ribosomal RNA
Rfam family: Bacterial small subunit ribosomal RNA
Source: RNAcentral
AGCGAACGCUGGCGGCAGGCUUAACACAUGCAAGUCGAGCGGGCACUUUCGGGUGUCAGCGGCGGACGGGUGAGUAACGCGUGGGAACGUGCCCUCUGGUUCGGAAUAACUCAGGGAAACUUGAGCUAAUACCGGAUACGCUCUUUUGGGGAAAGGCUUGCUGCCGGAGGAUCGGCCCGCGUCUGAUUAGCUAGUUGGUGAGGUAACGGCUCACCAAGGCGACGAUCAGUAGCUGGUCUGAGAGGAUGAUCAGCCACACUGGGACUGAGACACGGCCCAGACUCCUACGGGAGGCAGCAGUGGGGAAUAUUGGACAAUGGGCGCAAGCCUGAUCCAGCCAUGCCGCGUGAGUGAUGAAGGCCUUAGGGUUGUAAAGCUCUUUUAUCCGGGACGAUAAUGACGGUACCGGAGGAAUAAGCCCCGGCUAACUUCGUG